AGAUGGCGACCGGCGCACGGGUGAGUAACACGUAUCCAACCUGCCGAUAACUCGGGGAUAGCCUUUCGAAAGAAAGAUUAAUACCCGAUGGUAUAAUUAGACCGCAUGGUCUUGUUAUUAAAGAAUUUCGGUUAUCGAUGGGGAUGCGUUCCAUUAGGCAGUUGGUGAGGUAACGGCUCACCAAACCUUCGAUGGAUAGGGGUUCUGAGAGGAGGGUCCCCCACAUUGGAACUGAGACACGGUCCAA
Molecule: ribosomal RNA, 247 nt
Filed under: uncultured bacterium
Lineage: Bacteria
Description: partial 16S ribosomal RNA
Rfam family: Bacterial small subunit ribosomal RNA
Source: RNAcentral